UGCUAGACGAGUUUGAUCCUGGCUCAGAAUGAACGUUGGCGGCGUGGAUUAGGCAUGCAAGUCGCGCGACAAGGAACCUUCGGGUUCUGGAGGAGCGGCAAACGGGGUAGUAAGGCAUCGGAACGUACCCUCUUGUUGGGAAUAGCCGCGGGAAACUGCGAGUAAUGCCCAAUAAUCCCUACGGGGCAAAGGUCCGCCGCAGGAGGAGCGGCCGAUGUGAUACCAGCUAGUUGGUGGGGUAAUGGCCUACCAAGGCAACGAUCUCUAGCUGGUCUGAGAGGACGAUCAGCCACACUGGGACUGAGACACGGCCCAGACUCCUACGGGAGGCAGCAGUGGGGAAUAUUGGACAAUGGGCGAAAGCCUGAUCCAGCAAUGCCGCGUGUGUGAAGAAGGCCUGAGGGUUGUAAAGCACUUUCAAUCGUGAAGAAAAGUUGCAGGCUAAUACCCUGUGACCUUGACGUUAACGAUACAAGAAGCACCGGCUAACUCCGUG
RNAcentral lists this ribosomal RNA (496 nucleotides) under uncultured bacterium. RNAcentral's name for it is "bacterial SSU rRNA". It matches the Rfam family "Bacterial small subunit ribosomal RNA", at positions 1 to 507 of the family's 1533-position model. The record is from RNAcentral.